AUUCGACCUGAGUUCAGACGAGACUA
RNAcentral lists this ribosomal RNA (26 nucleotides) under Tetraselmis sp. IOAC712S. Its description in RNAcentral is "partial 28S ribosomal RNA". The record is from RNAcentral. Lineage: Eukaryota; Viridiplantae; Chlorophyta; Chlorodendrophyceae; Chlorodendrales; Chlorodendraceae.